UUAAGCGACUAAGCGUACACGGUGGAUGCCCUGGCAGUCAGAGGCGAUGAAGGACGUGCUAAUCUGCGAUAAGCGUCGGUAAGGUGAUAUGAACCGUUAUAACCGGCGAUUUCCGAAUGGGGAAACCCAGUGUGAUUCGUCACACUAUCAUUAACUGAAUCCAUAGGUUAAUGAGGCGAACCGGGGGAACUGAAACAUCUAAGUACCCCGAGGAAAAGAAAUCAACCGAGAUUCCCCCAGUAGCGGCGAGCGAACGGGGAGCAGCCCAGAGCCUGAAUCAGUGUGUGUGUUAGUGGAAGCGUCUGGAAAGGCGCGCGAUACAGGGUGACAGCCCCGUACACAAAAAUGCACAUGCUGUGAGCUCGAUGAGUAGGGCGGGACACGUGGUAUCCUGUCUGAAUAUGGGGGGACCAUCCUCCAAGGCUAAAUACUCCUGACUGACCGAUAGUGAACCAGUACCGUGAGGGAAAGGCGAAAAGAACCCCGGCGAGGGGAGUGAAAAAGAACCUGAAACCGUGUACGUACAAGCAGUGGGAGCACAGAGCAAUCUGUGUGACUGCGUACCUUUUGUAUAAUGGGUCAGCGACUUAUAUUCUGUAGCAAGGUUAACCGAAUAGGGGAGCCGAAGGGAAACCGAGUCUUAACUGGGCGUUAAGUUGCAGGGUAUAGACCCGAAACCCGGUGAUCUAGCCAUGGGCAGGUUGAAGGUUGGGUAACACUAACUGGAGGACCGAACCGACUAAUGUUGAAAAAUUAGCGGAUGACUUGUGGCUGGGGGUGAAAGGCCAAUCAAACCGGGAGAUAGCUGGUUCUCCCCGAAAGCUAUUUAGGUAGCGCCUCGUGAAUUCAUCUCCGGGGGUAGAGCACUGUUUCGGCAAGGGGGUCAUCCCGACUUACCAACCCGAUGCAAACUGCGAAUACCGGAGAAUGUUAUCACGGGAGACACACGGCGGGUGCUAACGUCCGUCGUGAAGAGGGAAACAACCCAGACCGCCAGCUAAGGUCCCAAAGUCAUGGUUAAGUGGGAAACGAUGUGGGAAGGCCCAGACAGCCAGGAUGUUGGCUUAGAAGCAGCCAUCAUUUAAAGAAAGCGUAAUAGCUCACUGGUCGAGUCGGCCUGCGCGGAAGAUGUAACGGGGCUAAACCAUGCACCGAAGCUGCGGCAGCGACACUGUGUGUUGUUGGGUAGGGGAGCGUUCUGUAAGCCUGCGAAGGUGUGCUGUGAGGCAUGCUGGAGGUAUCAGAAGUGCGAAUGCUGACAUAAGUAACGAUAAAGCGGGUGAAAAGCCCGCUCGCCGGAAGACCAAGGGUUCCUGUCCAACGUUAAUCGGGGCAGGGUGAGUCGACCCCUAAGGCGAGGCCGAAAGGCGUAGUCGAUGGGAAACAGGUUAAUAUUCCUGUACUUGGUGUUACUGCGAAGGGGGGACGGAGAAGGCUAUGUUGGCCGGGCGACGGUUGUCCCGGUUUAAGCGUGUAGGCUGGUUUUCCAGGCAAAUCCGGAAAAUCAAGGCUGAGGCGUGAUGACGAGGCACUACGGUGCUGAAGCAACAAAUGCCCUGCUUCCAGGAAAAGCCUCUAAGCAUCAGGUAACAUCAAAUCGUACCCCAAACCGACACAGGUGGUCAGGUAGAGAAUACCAAGGCGCUUGAGAGAACUCGGGUGAAGGAACUAGGCAAAAUGGUGCCGUAACUUCGGGAGAAGGCACGCUGAUAUGUAGGUGAAGUCCCUCGCGGAUGGAGCUGAAAUCAGUCGAAGAUACCAGCUGGCUGCAACUGUUUAUUAAAAACACAGCACUGUGCAAACACGAAAGUGGACGUAUACGGUGUGACGCCUGCCCGGUGCCGGAAGGUUAAUUGAUGGGGUCAGCGCAAGCGAAGCUCUUGAUCGAAGCCCCGGUAAACGGCGGCCGUAACUAUAACGGUCCUAAGGUAGCGAAAUUCCUUGUCGGGUAAGUUCCGACCUGCACGAAUGGCGUAAUGAUGGCCAGGCUGUCUCCACCCGAGACUCAGUGAAAUUGAACUCGCUGUGAAGAUGCAGUGUACCCGCGGCAAGACGGAAAGACCCCGUGAACCUUUACUAUAGCUUGACACUGAACAUUGAGCCUUGAUGUGUAGGAUAGGUGGGAGGCUUUGAAGUGUGGACGCCAGUCUGCAUGGAGCCGACCUUGAAAUACCACCCUUUAAUGUUUGAUGUUCUAACGUUGACCCGUAAUCCGGGUUGCGGACAGUGUCUGGUGGGUAGUUUGACUGGGGCGGUCUCCUCCUAAAGAGUAACGGAGGAGCACGAAGGUUGGCUAAUCCUGGUCGGACAUCAGGAGGUUAGUGCAAUGGCAUAAGCCAGCUUGACUGCGAGCGUGACGGUGCGAGCAGGUGCGAAAGCAGGUCAUAGUGAUCCGGUGGUUCUGAAUGGAAGGGCCAUCGCUCAACGGAUAAAAGGUACUCCGGGGAUAACAGGCUGAUACCGCCCAAGAGUUCAUAUCGACGGCGGUGUUUGGCACCUCGAUGUCGGCUCAUCACAUCCUGGGGCUGAAGUAGGUCCCAAGGGUAUGGCUGUUCGCCAUUUAAAGUGGUACGCGAGCUGGGUUUAGAACGUCGUGAGACAGUUCGGUCCCUAUCUGCCGUGGGCGCUGGAGAACUGAGGGGGGCUGCUCCUAGUACGAGAGGACCGGAGUGGACGCAUCACUGGUGUUCGGGUUGUCAUGCCAAUGGCACUGCCCGGUAGCUAAAUGCGGAAGAGAUAAGUGCUGAAAGCAUCUAAGCACGAAACUUGCCCCGAGAUGAGUUCUCCCUGACUCCUUGAGAGUCCUGAAGGAACGUUGAAGACGACGACGUUGAUAGGCCGGGUGUGUAAGCGCAGCGAUGCGUUGAGCUAACCGGUACUAAUGAACCGUGAGGCUUAACCUU
This 2903-nucleotide ribosomal RNA is filed under the name Escherichia coli 3030-1. Its description in RNAcentral is "bacterial LSU rRNA". It matches the Rfam family "Bacterial large subunit ribosomal RNA". Lineage: Bacteria; Pseudomonadati; Pseudomonadota; Gammaproteobacteria; Enterobacterales; Enterobacteriaceae. The record is from RNAcentral.